GGACAGUAGUGAGCAAGUAUGGCAGUAAUGUGCAUUAAAGUGUUUCUUGUGGUGGUGUUUCUAGUUGGUGUUGGUUAUUGUCAAGAGAAUGCUACCAACGCCACUGCAGCACCAACUCCUACUACCGCAUCUGCAUUAGCAACAGUAACCACUUCUCUAUCGCCAGUGUCUUCAGCUACAUUAUCAGCAUUCCAAAACUUCAACGCUAUUGUGGUUUCAAUCCCCUUGGGCAUCGUACAGGCAUUAAAAUAUGGAGCGAAAACUAUGGACAGUGUCGUCAGAGCAUUUUUCGCUCAUAAAAAGUUUUAUUAAAAAAGAUUUUUGGCAAA
Helicoverpa armigera (cotton bollworm) is the source of this 329-nucleotide long non-coding RNA. RefSeq lists it as uncharacterized. The transcript is spliced from 3 exons. The record is from RefSeq and is a predicted model, not a curated record. NCBI's taxonomy places the organism in Eukaryota, Metazoa, Arthropoda, Insecta, Lepidoptera, Noctuidae.